UACAGAGGGUGCGAGCGUUAAUCGGAAUUACUGGGCGUAAAGCGUGCGUAGACGGCCAUCUAAGUCGGGUGUGAAAGCCCCGGGCUCAACCUGGGAAUUGCAUUCGAGACUGAAUAGCUAGGGUACGGUAGAGGGAAGCGGAAUUUCCGGUGUAGCGGUGAAAUGCGUAGAUAUCGGAAGGAACAUCUGUGGCGAAGGCGACACCCUGGACCAGCACUGACACUGAGGCACGAAAGCGUGGGGAGCAAACAGG
RNAcentral lists this ribosomal RNA (253 nucleotides) under uncultured bacterium. RNAcentral describes it as "partial 16S ribosomal RNA". It matches the Rfam family "Bacterial small subunit ribosomal RNA", at positions 524 to 776 of the family's 1533-position model. The record is from RNAcentral.